This 475-nucleotide long non-coding RNA is filed under the name Arachis ipaensis. RNAcentral describes it as "long non-coding RNA (AIPA_LNC001871)". The record is from RNAcentral. Lineage: Eukaryota; Viridiplantae; Streptophyta; Magnoliopsida; Fabales; Fabaceae.
UGGUGAGUAAGUCAAGUCCUUCUUGCCUGAAAGGAAUAGCUUGCUUUGUGACUGAAAACAAUUACUAAGUCCAAUUAGGCCUGAGCUCUUGUGGUAAAUUACCCAGCCCACUUCAACCAGUUCUUACUUCCUAAGGAAGUGUAAGCCAUACUUUCUUUCUUAGAAAGAUAGCCCUGUUGUCAGCCACGCUUUGUUUGAGAUCAGUUGUAGGGCAUGUGAACUUCUACUUCUUAGUAAACGGGCUUCUUCAAAGUAAGGUGCGAAGCAGAAGCCCGAGAGAGGAAUUAGAUCCUUUGCAUACAGAACAGGCUUUUUUCGAAAUAGAAGUUACAUAAAGUCUGGUGGUAUCGUAUAUAAGUAUAAGAAUAAGGCUUUUUUUAGGAGUUAUAAAUCUCACGCGAAAUUUCAUAAGAGAAGAAAGCAAAAGGCUUUGACUUGAGUAAAGUAGAGAAAGAAAAAGCUUUAUCAAAAAGCG